AUGCAGCACACUUUGAGAAAAGACUGACUCAGCAUGUUGUUCUGAUAAACAUCUGCAUCCAUCCUCUUCGUUGUUUUACAGAAAGCAUCACUUCCUGGUCUGCCUGAGGGUCCCUGUUCUCCCUGUGGUCCCGGGGGUCCUUCUCGACCAGGCUCUCCUGGUGGUCCGGGAACUGUGCGGACUGACACCGGAGGACUCGGCACGUGGUUCAGGAUGCUGUUGUAGCGCGCCAUGUGGCCUGAAAACAUUCCAGGAGGUCCCUGCAAGAGAAACAAAUUCAUGAAAAACAAGGAAAAAAACCACAAACUUGUGAAGCAUCGAACACAAGAUGAAGCAGGUGAUUCUCUCGUCAGGACAGCAUGUUGAUCAUCUUGCUGUCCUCACUAAACUCCAGCCUGCUUGUUUGUGUCAUUAAUUUAAAAUAU
Molecule: long non-coding RNA, 425 nt
Organism: Pelmatolapia mariae (spotted tilapia)
Lineage: Eukaryota; Metazoa; Chordata; Actinopteri; Cichliformes; Cichlidae
Exons: 3
Source: RefSeq, a predicted model, not a curated record